Small nuclear RNA from Cricetulus griseus (Chinese hamster), 107 nucleotides. Lineage: Eukaryota; Metazoa; Chordata; Mammalia; Rodentia; Cricetidae. The record is from Ensembl.
AUGCUCAUUUUGGUAGUACCCCUACUAAAACUAUAGUGACACAGAGAAGACUCACAUGGUCCCUGUACAAGGAUGACUGACAAAUUUGUGAAGCAUUCCAUACUUUU